Molecule: ribosomal RNA, 592 nt
Filed under: Kosakonia oryzendophytica
Lineage: Bacteria; Pseudomonadati; Pseudomonadota; Gammaproteobacteria; Enterobacterales; Enterobacteriaceae
Description: bacterial SSU rRNA
Rfam family: Bacterial small subunit ribosomal RNA
Source: RNAcentral
UUCCGGGAGCUAACGCGUUAAAUCGACCGCCUGGGGAGUACGGCCGCAAGGUUAAAACUCAAAUGAAUUGACGGGGGCCCGCACAAGCGGUGGAGCAUGUGGUUUAAUUCGAUGCAACGCGAAGAACCUUACCUGGUCUUGACAUCCACAGAAGUUUCCAGAGAUGGGAACGUGCCUUCGGGAACUGUGAGACAGGUGCUGCAUGGCUGUCGUCAGCUCGUGUUGUGAAAUGUUGGGUUAAGUCCCGCAACGAGCGCAACCCUUAUCCUUUGUUGCCAGCGGUCCGGCCGGGAACUCAAAGGAGACUGCCAGUGAUAAACUGGAGGAAGGUGGGGAUGACGUCAAGUCAUCAUGGCCCUUACGACCAGGGCUACACACGUGCUACAAUGGCGCAUACAAAGAGAAGCGACCUCGCGAGAGCAAGCGGACCUCAUAAAGUGCGUCGUAGUCCGGAUUGAAGUCUGCAACUCGACUCCAUGAAGUCGGAAUCGCUAGUAAUCGUGGAUCAGAAUGCCACGGUGAAUACGUUCCCGGGCCUUGUACACACCGCCCGUCACACCAUGGGAGUGGGUUGCAAAAGAAGUAGGUAGCU